RNAcentral lists this transfer RNA (76 nucleotides) under Micavibrio aeruginosavorus. RNAcentral's name for it is "tRNA-Thr". It matches the Rfam family "tRNA". From Rfam's summary of the family: Transfer RNA (tRNA) molecules are approximately 80 nucleotides in length. Their secondary structure includes four short double-helical elements and three loops (D, anti-codon, and T loops). The record is from RNAcentral. Lineage: Bacteria; Pseudomonadati; Bdellovibrionota; Bdellovibrionia; Bdellovibrionales; Pseudobdellovibrionaceae.
GCCGUCGUAGCUCAGUCGGUAGAGCACGUCAUUCGUAAUGACGGGGUCGGGGGUUCGAAUCCCUUCGACGGCACCA